UAUCAAAGUAUCACAUCAAUU
Molecule: non-coding RNA, 21 nt
Filed under: Caenorhabditis elegans
Lineage: Eukaryota; Metazoa; Nematoda; Chromadorea; Rhabditida; Rhabditidae
Source: RNAcentral